RNAcentral lists this ribosomal RNA (1043 nucleotides) under uncultured Thiobacillus sp. RNAcentral's name for it is "bacterial SSU rRNA". It matches the Rfam family "Bacterial small subunit ribosomal RNA", at positions 355 to 1392 of the family's 1533-position model. Lineage: Bacteria; Pseudomonadati; Pseudomonadota; Betaproteobacteria; Nitrosomonadales; Thiobacillaceae. The record is from RNAcentral.
UGGGGAAUUUUGGACAAUGGGCGCAAGCCUGAUCCAGCCAUGCCGCGUGGGUGAAGAAGGCCUUCGGGUUGUAAAGCCCUUUCGGCUGGGACGAAAAGAUUCGGGUUAAUAACCCGGAUCCAUGACGGUACCAGCAGAAGAAGCACCGGCUAACUACGUGCCAGCAGCCGCGGUAAUACGUAGGGUGCAGGCGUUAAUCGGAAUUACUGGGCGUAAAGCGUGCGCAGGCGGUCUUUUAAGUCAGAUGUGAAAUCCCCGGGCUUAACCUGGGAACUGCGUUUGAAACUGGAAGGCUAGAGUGUGGCGGAGGGGGGUGGAAUUCCACGUGUAGCAGUGAAAUGCGUAGAGAUGUGGAGGAACACCGAUGGCGAAGGCAGCCCCCUGGGCUAACACUGACGCUCAUGCACGAAAGCGUGGGGAGCAAACAGGAUUAGAUACCCUGGUAGUCCACGCCCUAAACUAUGUCAACUGGUUGUCGGGGAAGCAAUUCCUUGGUAACGAAGCUAACGCGUGAAGUUGACCGCCUGGGGAGUACGGCCGCAAGGUUAAAACUCAAAGGAAUUGACGGGGACCCGCACAAGCGGUGGAUUAUGUGGAUUAAUUCGAUGCAACGCGAAAAACCUUACCUACCCUUGACAUGCUAGGAACCUCGCAGAGAUGUGAGGGUGCCCGAAAGGGAACCUGGACACAGGUGCUGCAUGGCUGUCGUCAGCUCGUGUCGUGAGAUGUUGGGUUAAGUCCCGCAACGAGCGCAACCCUUGCCAUUAGUUGCCACAUUAAGUUGGGCACUCUAAUGGGACUGCCGGUGACAAACCGGAGGAAGGUGGGGAUGACGUCAAGUCCUCAUGGCCCUUAUGGGUAGGGCUUCACACGUAAUACAAUGGCCGGUACAGAGGGCAGCCAACCCGCGAGGGGGAGCUAAUCCCAGAAAGCCGGUCGUAGUCCGGAUUGCAGUCUGCAACUCGACUGCAUGAAGCCGGAAUCGCUAGUAAUCGCGGAUCAGCAUGUCGCGGUGAAUACGUUCCCGGGCCUUGUACACACCG